RNAcentral lists this ribosomal RNA (460 nucleotides) under uncultured bacterium. Its description in RNAcentral is "partial 16S ribosomal RNA". It matches the Rfam family "Bacterial small subunit ribosomal RNA", at positions 338 to 795 of the family's 1533-position model. The record is from RNAcentral.
CCUACGGGGGGCAGCAGUGAGGAAUAUUGGUCAAUGGGCGUACGCCUGAACCAGCCAAGUCGCGUGAAGGAUGAAGGUUCUAUGGAUCGUAAACCUCUUUUAUAAGGGAAUAAAGUGCGGGACGUGUCCCGUUUUGUAUGUACCUUAUGAAUAAGGAUCGGCUAACUCCGUGCCAGCAGCCGCGGUAAUACGGAGGAUCCGAGCGUUAUCCGGAUUUAUUGGGUUUAAAGGGUGCGUAGGUGGGCUUUUAAGUCAGUGGUGAAAGUCUGUGGCUCAACCAUAGAAUUGCAGUUGAUACUGGGAGUCUUGAGUACGGUUGAGGUAGGCGGAAUUCGUGGUGUAGCGGUGAAAUGCUUAGAUAUCACGAAGAACUCCGAUUGCGAAGGCAGCUUGCCAAGCCAUGACUGACGCUGAUGCACGAAAGUGUGGGGAUCAAACAGGAUUAGAUACCCUUGUAGUC